This is a long non-coding RNA of Schistocerca americana (American grasshopper), 1742 nucleotides long. RefSeq lists it as uncharacterized. The transcript is spliced from 3 exons. NCBI's taxonomy places the organism in Eukaryota, Metazoa, Arthropoda, Insecta, Orthoptera, Acrididae. The record is from RefSeq and is a predicted model, not a curated record.
AUAAAUGGAAAACAGUUUCCUAUAAUAAGAAGGACAAACGUAAAAGUGCAACGAACAAAGAAGAUGACAAAAACGAUUUUCUGUUAAUAGGUGAUUCUAUAUUAAAAAAUGUUAUUGUGCCGGACUGCAAGGUCGAUGUUCGACCUGGAAUCCGAUCGCAUCAACUCAACAAACAUUUUAAGAAUGUAUUGUCCACGAAAAGAAACACGGGCGAAACUGGUAACAAAACUUUAAGUACCGACGAUUACAGAGGUGUCUUAAUCCACGUGGGCACGAACUCCAUCCGCAGUAACAGUGAGGAAGAAAUCGUGAAUGAAACACGGAAUCUGAUUAGAUCGGCGAAAACUGUAUACCCAACAUCCAGGCUGGUAAUUAGUGGAAUUGUUCAUCGAAGAUCGAGCUUCUGCUGCCAUCAUGGCAGAGAGAGAAUGGGGUGCAGGAGAUCCUAAUGACUCAGCCAAUGGUGACAGUGAGCUAGGUUCAACUGGUGAUGCAGUGAUACGACAACCACCUCCAGGAGGAGCCUGCAGCUCACACACUCUAUGCUGUAACCGAAGCACCAAUUCCUCCAGUUUCUGAUUAAUGGCACGCUGUGACUGGUAUUUGCUCUCUACUGCCUGUUAUGAAGAAAUAAAUGCAUUACAUCAUAGAAGAAAUAGGAGAGCCACCUCCAAGGGAACUGAUUGCAGUGCAUUUCCUUGCUAACUGCCACUUGGAUCUGUUGAAGGCGUGGACAGAUUGCUGAGAAAGUGUGUUACAGCUCAUUAAAAGUGUUAAAGUGAUUGCAAAAAAUACUAAACACUGAGCAAGUGAAAUUUUUUUAUCUAAACAUGAACUGCAAUGCACAGUGCAAUUUAGUUUUUUUUUCUUUUUUGCUACCCAUGAGGAUUUAUUUUGUUUAGCAAGACAGGACUUGUACCAAAUGAUAUGUAUCGUUAUACGUAAUCUUUGCUUACCCAAAAAGGACCACUUCUGAUGAAGAUACAUAUUUUUUUCUUACAAGUAUAACUUGUGGAUAUUUUGUGUAAUUUUUCAAUACAUUGUAUGUAAAUAUUCUGUAUGGGGACUUUCCUAUGGCCAGUUAGUAUAAGGAUAAAUUUGAAAAAAAAAAAAGUACUGUAGUUUUUGAUAAGAUUUCUUAUGUAAUAUUUUUUUGCAUGUAGAUUUUAAACCCAAUUUCUGGCUCACUUGUGGUCACUGAAUUGCCCAGUUAGCCAUUUGCAAUAUCUAUCUGGUCAAUGCAAUGAGGGGGGUGAUAUGUCGAAGCAAGCUGGGAUAUUUUUACUUCCCUUCUUGUUUUGCCAUCUGCCACCUUUAAAUUCAUUUUUUCGCUUUCAACUGAUUACCAUUAACAUUUGUGAAUAGAAUAUGCAUUUUCAUAAAAGAAAAUAUAACACCAGAUCUAAUUUCAUGCUUAGUUUUAGGGAUGUAAUUGAUUUUCUAAUGUAUUUUGACUAUUCCCAGUUAGUAUCUUUUGCUAUAGGGUGACAUCAGUAAUUGUUUCAUAACUUAAGUUCUAUUGUUAACAUAUAAACAAAUAUAAAUUCUGUAAUAACUAUAAAUGUUUGGAUGAUGAAAUGCUGGUAAUCUUAAAGUAUCUAUUUGUCUCCAGUCUAAAACUUGUUAGCAAAGCCAGCCCUUAAUUAAUUCCAAAGUAAUUAACAGUUUUGUCAAAAUUAUUGUUUGUGUACUUAUAUUUGUUAAUUUCAUGAUUUAAACAAAUAAUUUGGUCUAACUCUUGU